GAACUAAUUUCUGAAUAUGUGGAUUUCAUCAAGGACCCAGACCAUAAACUUGCGUUGUUUGACUUGUGGGAGAGUGGUUACCUUCCCAAACCGGGAAUAAGGUAUCGUCAAAGCAGAAAAGCAUAUGAUAUUACAAGGAAGGCCAAUGGUUUAUUGCAAAGGGCAAAUUUUGACACAUUUUCUUACUGGUCUGGUCCACCUUCCAUGGCUGCCUUUUUCUCUAACGUUGGUUAUGAAAGCUUUCCAUCCAGAGAAGAAACGAUGAAAAAAAUCAUUGCAGAAUUGGAAAAGCCAAGUGUUAGAAUGAUUGGUCUUCAUGGGUUAAGUGGCAUGGGCAAGACUACUUUAGUCAAAGAAGUUGUUAAAGUAGCCUUAGAAGCUAAGAAGAUCGACGUAGUGACCAUGGCAAGCGUGACAAGAAAUCCUGACAUAAGAAAAAUCCAGGGACAAAUUGCUGACUCGUUGGGGAUUAUAUUGGAUGAGGAAAGUGANGUUGCAAGAGCUGCUAGAAUACANAAGAGAUUAAAGAANGAGAAGGAGAAGACACUUAUAAUCCUAGAUGAUCUUUGGGAAAAGGUGGACUUCAAUAUGCUUGGGAUCCCAUAUGAAAUACAUAAUCAUACAGGCCUAAAAAANGUUAAAGAAGGAAAAUCCGUCCAUGUUGAUAGCUUGAUGAAUCAAAAGGAAGGAAGUCCUAAAGAACCCCAUGGUGCUUCGGAUGAGUUGAAGACUGAAAAAACUCGUAGUCAGUACAAAGGGUGCAAAGUUUUGUUGAUUUCUGAAAGCAAAACGGUAUUAUUAACUCAAAUGGGAAGGAAAGAAAACUGUGUUUUCUGUUUGGAAGCCUUGAAGGAGAAGGAAACAGAGAUGCUGUUCAAGAAAAUGGCUGGAAUGGGAGACUAUAAUUCUAAAUUUCAGAAGUUAGGAGCUCAAAUUGCGAACAAGUGUAAUGGGUUGCCAAUGACAAUUGUUACAACUGCAAGGGCCUUAAAAAAACAGAGCCCCUUUGUAUGGGAGGAUAUUCUUCGAAAACUUGAAUGGCAGAAGUUAACUGGAGCACCUGAGCUGUCAACAAAGUUGAGUUAUGAUCUUUUAGAAGACGAUGAACUCAAGUAUACUUUCUUACUUUGUGCUCGCAUGGGUCAUGAUGCAUUGAUUAUGGACUUGGUCAAAUAUUGCAUUGGUUUGGGGUUCCUUCAAGGGAUCUACACAGUGAGAGAAACCAGAGACAGAGUUUGUACCCUUGUUGAAAAGCUGAAAGAAUCGGGUUUGUUGUCUGACAGCUAUUCAAGGGAUCAAUUUACCAUGCAAAAUAUUAUUCGCAAUGCAGCUUUGUCAAUAGCAAAUAAGGAAAAACAUUUAUUUACAGUGACAAAGGGAAAGAUAGAUGAAUGGCCCGAGAAACUUGACGAGUAUGCUGCUAUUUCCUUGCAUCAUUGUAACUUCAUUGAGGGGUUUCCUAGGAGAAUAAAGUACCCAGGACUUAGGGUCUUCCAUUUCAACAAUAAUGAUCCACAUCUCAAAGUACCCACAAAUUUUUUUAAAGGAAUGAAGGGACUCAAAGUGUUGAUAUUGACUGGCAUUCAUCUCUCCCUCUUAGAAUCAUCAGUUUCAUCCUUGAUAGAACUCAGAAUGCUUUGUUUGGAGCAAUGCACGCUAGAAGAAUUAUCCAUCAUAGGAAUGCUGAAAAAGUUAAGAAUUCUUAGUUUUUCAAGAUCUGAUAUCGAAAAAUUGCCAGUUGAAUUGCAAAAGUUGAAAAAACUACAAAUUUUUGACUUAAGUAAUUGCUCUAAACUUAAAGAAAUUCCAUCAGGUGUCAUUUCAAACUUGGUAUGCUUGGAGGAGUUGUAUAUGAGAAAUACCUUGAUUCAUUGGGAGAAGGAAGAACUUACACGUCAAAGUAAAAUAGGCCUUCUUUCUGAGUUGAAACACUUGAGCCAAUUGACAACUCUAGACAUACAAAUCCCAGAGGUUUCCCAUUUGCCGAAAACCUUGUUCUUUGACAAGUUAUAUAGUUACAAGAUUGUUAUUGGAGAUUUGAGUGCACUCUUAGAGACUGAUUUCAAGAUUCCAGAGAUGUAUGAAACAUCUAGAUUUUUAGCAAUACGAUUGAAAGAUGGGUUUGACAUUCACUCUCUAAAGGGGGUCAAAAUGUUGUUUGAAGGAGUUCAAAGUUUGCUUUUGGAAGAACUUAAUACUGUCCAUGAUUUAUUUUAUAGAUUGAAUUUAAAGGGUUUUCCAUAUCUAAAACAUCUGUUUAUUGUAAAUAAUUUCACCAUUCAAUCUCUCAUCUAUCCGAAAGACAGACAACAGUCACAACACCCUGAGAAAGCGUUUCCUAAACUGGAGUCAUUGCAUCUCUAUAAUCUUAAGAAGAUAAAAAAUAUAUGCUCCUGUAAACUUUCUGAACCCUCCUUUGGUAAACUGAAAGUCAUCAAGAUCAAUCUCUGUGGUCAAUUGAAGAGUGUGUUCUCAAUUUCUAUGGUAAAUCUUUUAACUGCUCUUGAAACAAUUGAAGUUUCUGAGUGUUACUCUUUGACGGAGAUUGUCUCUGUGGAAGAAUCACAAAGCAAUACUCAGGAAUCCAAACUGGUGUUCCCUAAAUUACUGUAUUUGAAGCUACAAUCUUUGUCUCUGUGUGGUAAAUUUUAUUCCAUAACGGAGGAAAAACUCUUCAAUGAAAAGGUUGAUGUUUCAAAAUUAGAGAGAAUGGAGUUGUCCUCAAUUCCCAUUACCGAGAUAUGGAAUUAUCAUCAUUCAAACAGGUCCUUGUUUAAAAAUUUGACACAUUUGGAUGUUAAUGGUUGUUGGAAACUAGAACAUCUAAUAUCUUUUUCAAUGGCCAAGUGUCUGGGAAGCCUUCAAAGCCUUUUUGUAAGUGAAUGCGGAAAUAUGAAAGGCAUCUUUCCUGAUAGCAUGCAGAUGGAGGGUGACAUCUUUCCAAAAUUGAAGAAUAUCAAAUUAAGUAGCAUGAAGAGUUUGCGCAAGAUAUGGCCCUCAGACCUCCCUUCAAAAUCCUUUAGCAAACUAGACACACUAAUCAUUGAGAAGUGUGAUAAAUUAGUCAGUGUUUUUCCUCAUUAUUAUGAGGGAAUAUUUCACAGUCUAUGCAACCUGACUGUUACAAAAUGCACGCAAAUGCAAACAAUAUUUGACACAUAUGAUAAAAUGCGUUAUGUUGGGGUUGUUAGCUUGCAAGAUCUUCAUUUAGAAAUACUCCCAAAUUUGAAGCAUGUAUGGAAAUUGGAAAAGGGUAAAGGAGGGAUUCUUGAGUUGAAGAAUCUGCAAAAGAUAAUGGUUCAAAAUUGUUACUGCUUGGAAAAUAUAUUUCCAUUUUCUGUAGCUGAGAAUCUUGGUAAUCUUGAAUACCUUGUGGUGAGUUAUUGUGUUGAAUUGAGGGAAAUUGUGGCCAAAAGUGCGGCUGUCAACACUGCUAAAUUAUUAUUCAAGUUCCCUAAACUAAGAAGCAUUAAAUUUUCAGUCCUACCACGACUUACAAGUUUCUAUCCAGGAGCUUUUCAACUGUGUUGUCCAACAUUAAAUGACCUAUCUAUUGAAUAUUGUGACUUGCUGGAACCAUUCCAGAAAGAAACUGUAGAUGUAGAAGGAAAAUGUGUCCUCUUUUCUGAAGAGGUACUCAACAAGUUGAAGUCGAUGCAAAUUGAGUCUUGGCAUGCAAAGUCACAAAACAGUUGUAUGAAUGAAGGGAAUCAUCGAAGAGAUAGUUUAGAAGAGCUUUGUUUAUCUAGAUUAUCGGAUACUGAGAUCUUAUAUUCUUUUCUCCAUAGCAACCCAAAUCUGGAAAGCCUAUCCUUGAGUGAUUGUUUAUUUGAAGAGAUAGUGCCUCUUGAAAAAAAUACAAAAAUUGAAACACUGGGAGUAGUUCCAAAGCUGAAAAACUUGAAGUUGAUAAACUGUAAACUUAAAGAUCUGGGCUUUGAAGAAGACAUAAUUCUUAGAAGGGUAGAACUCUUGCUUUUAAAAAGAUGUCCUUGCAUGACAACAGUGGUGUCUUCUUCGACAUCUCUCAGUAGCUUAGUGAAUCUUGAAGUUGAUAACUGUGAUGGAUUAGAAAAUCUAAUGUCACCAUCUACUGCAGAAAGCUUAGGUCAACUCAACACCAUGAAGGUAACCAAAUGUAAAAAUCUAAUGGAAAUAGUAGGAAAAGAUGCAGGGAAUGCUAGCAAAGUUGUUUUUAAAAAAUUGAAGACCCUGGAGCUUGUUUCUCUAAAGAAACUCCAGAGCUUUUGUAACUCUGAGAGUUGUGAAUUUGAGUUUCCUUCGUUGGAAAGACUAGUGGUGAGUGCAUGUUAUAAUAUGAAAAAAUUUUCUGACAAGGUCACGAGACGAAGCACACCCAUUUUACAAAAUGUAUAUGCGAUACUUGAACAAGAGAAGAAAAGAUACUGCUGGGAAGGUGACUUAAAUGCCACAAUACAUAAAAUGUUUCUGGAUAAGAAAUUUUUUGAAGGCAUGAACAUGAUGAGUUUCUCUGAUGACGGAAAGCUAAAACAAGAAAUGAUGAGUUUAUCUGAUCACCUAGAACUAAAUCGAGCCUGGCUAGGUGGUGAAGUUGAUCCCCAAAGUAUUCAUAGUUGGUUCUACAGUUUGAAAGUUUUGAAGCUUGAGAAGUGUGAAAUUCAGCAAUGUGCAAUUCCAUCUAAUAUUCUUCCUUAUUUGAAAAACUUAAAUGAACUGAUGGUGCAAGAUUGCAACAAUGUAGAAGUAGUUUUUGAGAUGAAUGUCACACAGGGAACAGGAACAACAUUCCAAUUGCAGAAAUUAACUCUAAAUCGACUAUCAAAGCUUAAGAAUGUGUGGAAAGGGAAUGGUGAAGAAACUCGCAGCUUUCAAAAUCUGCGGGAAGUGGCUGUUCUAGAGUGUCACAUGAUGCAAACUUUGUUUCCUGCAGCCCUGGUAAAAAAUCUUAAGAAGCUUCACACACUUAUGAUUGGACGUAGUUGGGGGUUAGAAAUUGUUGGAAAGGAAGACAAUGCAGCAUUAGCAACACAGAAUUUGGUGUUUCCUUGUUUAACUACAUUAGUUCUUGUUGACCUGCCAGAGCUCAAUUACCUUUAUCCAGAACCAUUCACCGUGGAAUGCCCCGUGUUAAAAUUUUUAAGAGUGUUAGAUUGUCCGAAGUUGGAUCUGUUUCCUCGUUUCUUAGAUCUAAAAACGGUCGUUGCCAACCUUGAGCAAUUGGUACUCGAAGGGAAACACAGUUUGGUGUUAGAGUCAAGUUUACAAGAUCUUGAGUACUGCUUUGAGGAUUUAAAUUCUAUUUCUCUGCGAUUUGAUGUUGAUGAAAAUGAAAAGUCUAAUUUGCCUAUUCAAAUACUCCAAAGGGUGCCAAAUUUACAUGAAAUGAGUAUAAGUUCUUGCCAUUGCCUAGACGCAUUCCGCACUGAAAUUUCUGAAAUGAAUAAAAAGGUGAUGCUUACAGACUUGAAACGUUUGGAUCUGAAUGAUGUAUGGGAGCUCAAGUCUAUUGGAUCGGGGGAUGUUCCAUGGUUAGACAUGAUUUGUAAGAAGCUCCAUAGAUUAUAUGUUGCCAAUUGUCCUCGUUUCAUGGCAGUAAUGCAUUCCCCUUCUGCACAGUUUUUCUCCUGUUUGAAAGUGUUGUCUGUAUUCAAUUGUCAAAGAUUGGAGUAUUUAUUCACAUCAUCAGCAGCAGAAAAGUUGACUCAGCUUGAGCGUAUCCAUCUGUACAAAUGUAGAUCGAUAAAAGAAAUAGUGGCAAAAGAGCAAGGUGAAACAACUUCAGGAGGGUUCAAAUUGCAGCAGCUACGCUGCGUAUCUUUGUCUUAUUUAUCAAGCUUGGAAUGUUUUUAUUCUGGAAAUCGCACUUUGCAGUUACCCUCUUUGAUAGAAGUUCGCAUAAUUGAGUGCCCCAAGAUGGAAAUUUUCUGUAAAGGAUCAAUGGGUCCCAAUUUGUGUAAAGAAAUUAGAACUUCCUAUACCUCAAAUAAUGGAUUGGUCAUCGUGCAUGAUGAUCUUAACUCCACUGUCAAAAAGGUGUUUCGACAACAGAAUCAUAUAGUUUUCGGGGAUUCUCGUAUGUUGCAAGACAUAUGGAAAUCAGUGACACUCCCCGAAGGGUAUUUCCACAAUUUAACUUCUAUGGUAGUUGAAGGUUGUGAAUUUUUAUCAGAUGCAAUACUACCUUCCCAUUUACUUCAUUUGCUCAGUAACUUGAAAAGGUUGCAAGUGCGGAGAUGUAAUUCUCUAAAGGCAGUAUUUAUUCAUACUAAGAUCACUAAUAUGGGACCUCAAGGAAGUCUCACUCAUCUGGAAGAACUUCAUGUGGAAAACUGUGUAGAGUUGGUGGCAAUUGUUGCAAAGUUUGAAGCAGAAAUUGAUGAAGCUAAUAAAGAGAUAACUAUAUUCUCCACCAUAACCUUGUUGAGGCUAUCGCAUUUGCCAAAACUAAGGUGCAUAUAUCCCGAAAUGCACAUGUUAAAAUGGGAUAUGUUAAAAGAGUUGCAUGUUGAACAUUGCCAAAAGCUGAAGUUUUUUGCAACAGAGUAUCAAAACUCUAAAUAUUUAAAUCAAGAUCAUCAAGAUAGGGUUUCAACAGCUCAGCAAGAAGUUGUCUCUCUUGAAAAGGUUACUCCCUGCUUGAAGGUAAUGUCACUUGGUAAGGAAGAAGCAGUGAUGAUUGAGCAAGGAAAACUUCAGAUCGAUCUCCCAAAAUUAAGCUCGCUCAAGUUGCAGUGCUUUGAUGAUGAACAAGGGGAUGCAUUUCCAUUUAUUUUUGGUUCGAAGAUGUCACUGUCACUCCCCACUAUCAAAAAGCUUGUGUUGCUUCAUUGUGCCUUCAAAGAGAUAUUCCCCACUCAAGCACUAGGCAUGGAUUGUACUAAAAUCCUUUCACAGCUUAAAACAUUGGAGCUUGUGAGUCUCUCCCAACUUAAAUCCAUAGGAUUAGAGCACUCUUGGGUAAUGCCCUUACUACAAAAUCUAAAAACGUUACUUGUUAGGGACUGCCACUAUUUGUCAAACUUGACACCGUCCACUGUGUCUUUCUCUAACCUGAUAAAGCUUAAUGUAAAGCAUUGUAGUAAGCUGAAAUACUUGUUCACGUUUUCAACUACUAAAACAUUGGUUGUAUUGAAGGAGAUUUACAUAACCAAUUGUAAAUCGCUGAAAACGAUAGUGGUUGAGGAUAGAGAUGGAGGUCACCUGAUUGAAGAUAAUGAGGUAGAGGAGGAAGGAGAAGGUGACGGUAAUGAAGAUGAUGAUGAAGAGGAGGAGGCACAACAUGAGAGCGAAGACAAAGAAAUCGAUGAUGAUGAUGAUGAUGAUGAUGAUGAAGACAAAGAAAAAAUGGAUGAAGCUAAAACUAAUGCUGAAGGUGGUGGAGAUGAAGGUGAAAAUGAGGGUGGCAAUGAUGCAAAACAUGGUAUGGAGAAGGAGAAGGAGGGAGAUGGUGCAGGUGAAGAUGACAAGAAUGAAGCUAAAGCUAAUGUUAAAGUUGAAGGUGAUGGAGAUGGAAAUGAAAAUGAAAAUGCAGGUGAUGGUGUAAACGAUGGAAAUGAAUGUGAAGAUGAGAUUACAUUCAAGAAGCUUGAGAGAUUGACUCUUAGAUCAUUACCAAAACUUAGAAGCUUUUACAGUGGGAUUUCCACUUUGAAUUUUCUAUCCUUGGAAGAAGUGUCGGUUAGCAAAUGCUGCACUGCAAAACUUUUCUGUCGCGAUGACAAAAUUCCAAAGAAAUUAAGAGUGAAAAUAGAUGACUGUAAACGUGAUAUGAAUUUUGUGAAGAUGCAACAAAUGAGGCAGAGGCAUCAUGAGUAAGUAUAUGACAACAGAUUCCCUUGACUUUUCUUGUUGAGCAUGUGGUGGUUGUAAACCUUCUAUAUGAUCUAAUGGUUUGAUGAAUCAGGAGAAUCUAAAAUGCAAUAAUAUGAUAAGGGCAUAGAAUCGUGACAAGAACUAUCAACAACCGGAGGUCUUUUCUUUUCUGUUGAAGUGUGGUGGUGCUCGGGAAUAAAGGUCACCUAUAUAAUAUGUAUUCCUCUAAAGUUAUAGAAUGGUGUUUGUGUUUUGUACGUAAAAUGACCCUGUAUUUAUACAGUAGCAGAGGUGUGUAUGUUUUGGAACUUCAUGCAUUUCUACAGAUGUUGUGUAUGAUUUGCAAGGUCUAUGGUGUUUCAUGACUAAUGUUUCUUAGACAUGUAUUAACUUUUGUAUAUAAAAUGCUUCAAAAACACACUAUUUUCUUUUUAUG
This is an RNA transcript of Vigna radiata var. radiata (mung bean), 8230 nucleotides long. RefSeq lists it as uncharacterized. The record is from RefSeq and is a predicted model, not a curated record. Lineage: Eukaryota; Viridiplantae; Streptophyta; Magnoliopsida; Fabales; Fabaceae.